This is a long non-coding RNA of Zonotrichia leucophrys gambelii, 594 nucleotides long. RefSeq lists it as uncharacterized. The transcript has 3 exons. The record is from RefSeq and is a predicted model, not a curated record. Lineage: Eukaryota; Metazoa; Chordata; Aves; Passeriformes; Passerellidae.
UUGGCACCUGAUUUCCAGAGUGUGGAGCACUUCCAGCUGCAGCUCCUGCUGGUGGGCUGUGAACCCAGGAGCUGUAAAAGCUGCUGCUUCCCAGCGGGCACAGUGGGAUCUCACAGCACUUCCUGGCAGCCUCCUGAUGCUGAGACACAGGAUCCUGGAUGCCAUUCCCUGCCCUGGAAAGCCAGCAGCUCUGACACAGGCUGGCACAGAAAGGAAGCUCCUUCUCCCAAAGCCCCCAGCCGUCCUGAGAGCAGGUGAAGCUUACUGGACCCUGGGCAGGCCUCUCUGACUUCUGAAAGCCCAAGGCAAGGCAGCUCAUGCCCAGGAGACCCAUAAGUGCUCCCAUUUUCCUGGUGUGGUUGCACUGGUGCUACAGCUUGGCUACUUUUGCUUUCCAUCCCCACCCCUAUCACACAUCCCUCACUUCUUCCUGCCCUUCCCUUGGUGGGGCUGCUGAAUUUCAGACAGGGUUUGCUCGAGCUGGGAUACACCUGCACUGCUGCCUCUGGCUGUGCUUCCAGGUGGAGCCAGGAUUUUCUUGCUCCCAGCUUUCCUCUCUCUUCUCCUGAGCUCCACUUCCCUUUUGCCACUUGG